Non-coding RNA from Osmia lignaria (orchard mason bee), 2546 nucleotides. The record is from RefSeq and is a predicted model, not a curated record. NCBI's taxonomy places the organism in Eukaryota, Metazoa, Arthropoda, Insecta, Hymenoptera, Megachilidae.
ACCAAAUCCAGCAAAAAUUCCAAUAACUUGUGUUCUAUGCCAAAUGACUGAUGCACGUGAAUGACCCAAUUUAUUUUUACAUGGUCCUUUGUCGUAAUGUCUCAGUAAAAAGUCGUCCUAAAUUAUUUAAUAUGAAUGUACAGAACACAUAGGACAGCACUUGAUAUGGUCACCAUCAAAUGGUAUACCUAAUGAUAGAUCUGAACAAGGACCAUUAUGCCAAGAUUCUCUACAUAUAGAACAAAAAUCUGUAGAGCAAUUAGGACAAUGAACAGGUCCAAUAGGAGUUCCAUUUGAUCCAGUGGCAUUUAUUGAACAUAUUGUUUCACAACCUGCUCGUGGGCACCAAGCACGUGCUUUAUCCAUGGAUACAUCUGUAUGUUACAGAAAAUAUUAGAUUAAAUUGAAUUACUGAAUCUUACAAUACAUAAGUUCUACACACCUCUAUUCAAGCGAAAUUUAUGAUGUUUUUCCACAAGUUCAGGACUAACAAGACUUGAUAUUUCCUUCAUAGAUAAUAUUGCCCCAUGUUCACAUUGUGCAUCAGGACAACUAAUUUCGUAUGCACCUUCCUCAAUUUCAAAUUCAACAUAUGCUUUCAUACACUAUAACAUUAAAAUGUAUUAUUUCUUAAAAAAUUUUGCAUAAAAUAAAAUACACUAAAUACAAAUUUAUACAUACAUCUUUACAAUAGGAACAACCACAGCCCUCUAUUUUAAAUGUUUUGGAAAUAGAAGUAUCAACAAGGCAUAAUUUACAGAAAAGGCGUCCAAGCGUUUGUUGAGAACCUGCAGGAACAAAAUUGCCUGCGGCUAAACUAUAACGUGAGCUAGAUGCCAAUGAUAACAAACUUGAACAGCGAGAACAAACUCGACUUCGAUUUAUAGGUCGACCUUCUAGGGCAGAAGUGCUUAAACCAACAGCAGUUUCACAUUUUCUUAAUACUCCAGGACCCAAACUUAACCAACUGUUACCACGUGCUUCUAAACUUGCACUACUUUCAGGUCUGAGUAAUGGCGCAUCCACUCCUUUUCCCAAUGCAGCUCUUUCUGUUAAUGAAAGAUUUACAACGCUUGCUUCCUUGCGUAACAAAGGUAAUCUGACUCCAGUAAGUUUAUUGGACUUAUCAACUUUCUUUUGAUUAGUAGUGAUUUUAUUAGAAGGAUUUACAGAUGUCACAGAGCUGGUGGCAGUACCCAUAUCCAUUAGUGGAGCUCGUCGUACGACGAGCGAAUGUAAGCUGGGCAUCCCCUAAUUAUCAAUGUAAGUUUCACUAGCUGUUACAAGCAAGAGCAGUUGCCAUAUAAUAAUAAAAGAUGUAUAUAAAUCAUAUAACUUGAAAAUGUCACACCCAUAAAAUGAUUUGCCACUGCAUAUUUCAAUGCACUCAUUCUGACAUAAUUUCAUAGUACUUCUCAUACUUCAUCAUUUUCUUUACAGUUCUCAAACUUGAUUUCAUACAUUUUGAAAGUAACUGAACAAAAUAUUGACUUACACUGUAUUUUUUUUUUUUUUUUAAAUGCUCCUACUCACUUAAAUAUAAAUCUAUUAACACGCUAAAUUCUAGAUUUAAUUUUGCAAAAAAUACACGAUUCGUGAUAAUUACUUGGAAAAAUAAAUUGAUAAGCCAUCAAGAAUAUAUAUAGAAGCAAAUUUUGUUGAAAUGUAACACGACCAAGAAAUAUUGCUGUCUUUGAACGUUAUUUAUGUUGUGCUUGUCAGUUUAAGACAUGUCGUAAAAGUAAGAAAACUUGCUACGUAAUAUCUUGCAAAUAUUCAUUAUUUAAAAACGUGCUAAUCUACUCAUAUUUCAAAUAUUAAUCUUCACAAACGUAUACUCAAUCCAUUUAGAUAUUGUUCGAUUUUAUAGUUUUCUUUCUAGUUUCACGGACUUUUCUCGUACUGUGUCACUAAGUACAGCAAACAGUAUGUGUACACAAAUUACUGACUAUUUCCGCCCCCACUUGCUUAUAUUUUUUUUUACAGUAACGAAAAUAAAGAUUAUCACCGCGUUUGUAUUAUGAUAUUUGUAAAAAAAUUACCGUUACUUUUUUGUAACAUAAUAUUGCAUUUCUGCAACUCACUUAACGCCUGACGCAGAGAGUAGCGAUAAAAUAUACUGUGCAGCAUGAAAUUAGGAAUUGUUCGAUAUUAAAAUUUUGAACACUAGUAAAUUUUUAAUAUAACACUUGUAAUAUAAUUUUAAAUUUUCGUACACAACAAUGGAAGAUAAUAAGUUACUGCAACUUUGUUUAUUGGUUAUUUUCUGUUCAUUAUGAUUUAUAUAUCAUCGUUACAUAUAUAUAUGUAUAUACGUAGAUAACAAAUUUGAACAUGCGAAAGGCGGGUUUCUCGACCAGCUUGUCUAUUGAGCGAAUACUGCUGAACAUAGGUCCCGAUGUGUCCUAACGAAAUUCAACGAUUGCACACGAAGUCAUCCAAUAUGGCGUUGGAGUUUAACUCCCAACAAAACUAAUUCUUAACAAUAUAAUGGAUAUAUAAAACUAAUAAAUAAAAUUUCUCUGUUAAAAAUAUACGCAUAAAAU